GAGCUUAAAAAUAAAAAAUUCAUCCUCGCUGGAAGUUUUUUUAUUCAAGUAGUCAAUUUGUUCUCUCUUUCUCUUGGCUCACAAUCAACUUUCUUUUUCCUCACAUUAUAUUGUCUCUUCAUUUUUACCUCAACUUUUAGCCUUAAAACUAAUUAUUAGCCUCAAUUUUUUAUUCAUAUUAUGUAUAAAUGGAUACAUAUAAAUAUAAAUAUUUAAAAGAUGGAAUUAUCAAUUAAUAUUAAGUUGGUGAAUUGGUGGCAUAGAGAUGCAAUUCGCAAUUCAAUGUGUAUUAUUCCAAAAUGUCAAAUCUUGUAUAAAAUAAACUGUUAUUAAGAUACUGAUAACUUUUAUAACUUUGUAACUUAAUUUACUUAUUUAUGUAUCUAUCAUUU
This 392-nucleotide long non-coding RNA is filed under the name Carica papaya (papaya). RNAcentral describes it as "long non-coding RNA (CPAP_LNC010800)". The record is from RNAcentral. Lineage: Eukaryota; Viridiplantae; Streptophyta; Magnoliopsida; Brassicales; Caricaceae.